AUACGGAGGGGGUUAGCGUUGUUCGGAAUUACUGGGCGUAAAGCGUACGUAGGCGGAUCGGAAAGUAAGGGGUGAAAUCCCAGGGCUCAACCCUGGAACUGCCUCUUAAACUCCCGGUCUUGAGUUCGAGAGAGGUGAGUGGAAUUCCUAGUGUAGAGGUGAAAUUCGUAGAUAUUAGGAGGAACACCAGUGGCGAAGGCGGCUCACUGGCUCGAUACUGACGCUGAGGUACGAAAGUGUGGCGAGCAAACAGGAUUAGAUACCCUAGUAGUCC
This 274-nucleotide ribosomal RNA is filed under the name uncultured bacterium. RNAcentral's name for it is "partial 16S ribosomal RNA". It matches the Rfam family "Bacterial small subunit ribosomal RNA", at positions 523 to 796 of the family's 1533-position model. The record is from RNAcentral.